This 274-nucleotide ribosomal RNA is filed under the name uncultured bacterium. Its description in RNAcentral is "partial 16S ribosomal RNA". It matches the Rfam family "Archaeal small subunit ribosomal RNA", at positions 473 to 747 of the family's 1478-position model. The record is from RNAcentral.
AAACCAGCACCUCAAGUGGUCAGGAGGAUUAUUGGGCCUAAAGCAUCCGUAGCCUGUUCUGUAAGUUUUCGGUUAAAUCCAUUAGCUCAACUAAUGGGCCGCCGAAAAUACUGUAGAACUAGGGAGUGGGAGAGGUAGACGGUAUUCGGUAGGAAGGGGUAAAAUCCUUUGAUCUAUUGAGGACCACCUGUGGCGAAGGCGGUCUACCAGAACACGUUCGACGGUGAGGGAUGAAAGCUGGGGGAGCAAACCGGAUUAGAAACCCCAGUAGUCC